UCGUUGACCCUCUCUCUCUCUCUCCCUCUCUCAGUUUUCUUCCAUUUUCCAUACAAUACGUAUGGCCAACCUUUGAACCUAGCUCUCUAAUCACGGAUCGAGAUUUUGGAAGCCAUCUUUGUGUUCCUUGUGAACUCAGGAACACAUCAAUACCAUUUUUAGAAUGUGAAUCCUUCAAAAACCCGAGAACCCAGAAAUCCCAUAUUUGAGCACUGUUCAUGCAGUCAUGAUCGUGGAAGUUUUAGUGAAUUUUAAGGUUCUAGGAAGCUUUAGACAUCUUCACGAAGCUCGGGGAAGAAAGUUGGAGUGUUUUGGACAUCGGGAAGUCCCAAAAAUCCCAGAAAGUUGGAGUGUUUCAAGUUUUGGCCAGAUUAUCGAGGUUCCUCCGGCGAGAUUCCAUGGAUUUUAGGGCUUAAAAUUGGUAAGGUUUUGUUCUACUCAUUGUAAGUUUUAUUUUAAGACAAAUUUCAUGAAGUUUGGUUGAGAAAUGAAGAAGAUAUAAAGGUUUCAAUAUUUUUCCAGUUUCCGACGAUCGCAGCGGCACCGGUGCCGGACUCUGGCGAACCAACGAAGAAGGAGGAGAAUGUUCUGUCAAAGUUGACGGAAUAUUCUAACGCCGUCAGGUAAUUCUAACUAUAUAUGUUGUUUUUAAUGGAAUAUUCCGUUUGGUGUGCCAGACACGUGCCUUCGCGUGAGCCGCACGUCUGGCCGUGCCUUGGUUGGCGUGCGAGGGCGUGUGGGUGCACCGAAAUUUUUUCUAAAAAUAUGGAGAUGUUGCUGAGGUUGAGUAGGUCAUGGUGGUAUAUUCAAAUACCCCAUUUGAUCAAUGUAUGAGAAGUUAUUUCCUAGUUUUGUGUAUGUGAUUUAAAUAACGUUUAUUUAGUUAUUUCGCAUAUAGGUGAGACCUAUCUUGAGGACGAGAGCCAUCAAUCGAGCCUAGGGGGCUAUGACCCUUCGACAUACCAGAGAGUGGGCUUUUGGUUUUUUGUAUAUAUCUACAUACUUGAAAUUUUUCCCAGAAAACGAAUUUGAAUGAUUAUACGCUUUGAAAUGCCAUGCAAAGUAUUUGCCUAUUUUGUUUAUGCAUUAGUAGUUGCAUAUAUUUAUGAUUGAUGCUGCGGACGCACAGGUAAGUGCCAAGUAAGUUCAUAAAUGAAAGAUAUGGGAUUACUUCAGUUAUGCAAGAUAUGAUGUGAUGUAUUGAGAGCUCAUAAACCUACACCCCUGUGUUAGUGCUCCCACCCAGAGUUAAGGCACAGUCCUUCACGUGAUGUUCACCUCCCGCACCAUAUGCUCACCUUGGAUCCAAGUUAGGUGUACAGGCUUGUCGUACAGACCACUUUAGGAGGUUCUGACUCGUAGGUGACCCGCGAUCAUUCGCACAGCUUUCACAUGAUCGUAGCACUAGAGCAUAUUUAUUUUACACCUAGUCUUGUCGUACAAACCACUUUAGGUGGUUUCGACUCGUGUGCAUAAUUUGAUAUGAUUGAGAUUAGUUAUGAGCUAUAGACUCAGCCGUGCAGGUCACGUUAGGUGGAGCCGGCUGAUAUGAUAUCCGGCAUUGAUAUAUUUUAAUUGAAUUACUUAUGGCAUUUCAUUAAGAUACUUUGGCAUGGUAUAUUUCUAUGGAUUUUCAUCUUGAGCAUGAUUUUUGUUAUAGCAUAUAUUAUAUUUCUGGGAAAUUAUACAUGUUUUACGGCGAGGGGUUAGAACUUUUGAGAACCGAAAUGAUUUUGAAAAGCUUUGUUUUUGCCCACUCACACUUUUUGUUUUGCGCCCCUCUAGGUUUUAGGUAGAAGUGCUUUGGUGGCUCACGAGGAUUUCGAUGGUGGUUCUGACAGAACAUCACAAAUGUAGGAGCACCUUUGGGUGUUAUAUGUAUUACUUUUCCAGUCGGACUGCACUUAGGCAAUUUAUGCUCUGAUUGUGUAUUUCAUACUUAAUCUUGCACUUGCACCUUAUCUUAAUUAGUGCUCUAGUUGGUUUGGUUUUUAGUUAUACGUAUUUCCUUAUAUCUCUAUUGCUUUCGCACUAUGCACAUGGCUACGUCACCCUUACGUGACGACUAGCAUGCCCUGAUUUAGGUUGAGGUGUGUCACAUCAUCUACAAAAAGUUCAUCAAUGUAAUCAUAUGUCCUAGCAACCCUUUUUUCUUCGAGCAACCUUUUCAGUCCAUUUGGAUUGCUGUGCGGAUGAUUCACCAAGAUAGUUAUAAUUGAAGCUCUCUUCUUAAAUACUUAAUUAAUUAUCAGAUUUCCCUAGAUUCAUUGAAUUGAAUGGAUAACACAUCACAACCAAAUUAUUCUUUAUCAAGUUCCCUAACUAUGGAAUACGCAUGAUAGAAAUACUUAACAAAGAUCAUUAAGUUCAAUGGAAACCAUAAGCAUUGACGAGGCA
Molecule: long non-coding RNA, 2397 nt
Filed under: Malus domestica (apple)
Lineage: Eukaryota; Viridiplantae; Streptophyta; Magnoliopsida; Rosales; Rosaceae
Description: long non-coding RNA (MDOM_LNC000612)
Source: RNAcentral